CAAGUUUUUAAGGGCGCACGGUGGAUGCCUUGGCACCAGGAACCGAUGAAGGACGUGGGAGGCCACGAUAGUCCCCGGGGAGCUGUCAACCAAGCUUUGAUCCGGGGGUUUCCGAAUGGGGAAACCCGGCAGUCGUCAUGGGCUGUCACCCGCUGCUGAACACAUAGGCAGUGUGGAGGGAACGAGGGGAAGUGAAACAUCUCAGUACCCUCAGGAAGAGAAAACAACCGUGAUUCCGGGAGUAGUGGCGAGCGAAACUGGAUGAGGCCAAACCGUUUACGUGUGAUACCCGGCAGGGGUUGCGUAUGCGGGGUUGUGGGAGUUCUCUUUCACAGUCUGCCGGCUGUGAGGCGAGUCAGAAACCGUUGGUGUAGGCGAAGGACAUGCGAAAGGUCCGGCGUAGAGGGUAAGACCCCCGUAGCUGAAACAUCAACGGCUCGUUUGAGAACCACCCAAGUAGCACGGGGCCCGAGAAAUCCCGUGUGAAUCUGGCGGGACCACCCGCUAAGCCUAAAUAUUCCCUGGUGACCGAUAGCGGAUAGUACCGUGAGGGAAUGGUGAAAAGUACCGCGGGAGCGGAGUGAAAUAGUACCUGAAACCGUGUGCCUACAAGCCGUGGGAGCGUCGCUGGCAGCACUUGUGCUGUCAGUCGUGACUGCGUGCCUUUUGAAGAAUGAGCCUGCGAGUUAGCGGUGUGUAGCGAGGUUAACCCGUGUGGGGAAGCCGUAGCGAAAGCGAGUCCGAACAGGGCGUUUGAGUUGCACGCUCUAGACCCGAAGCGGAGUGAUCUAGCCAUGGGCAGGUUGAAGCGGAGGUAAGACUUCGUGGAGGACCGAACCCACCAGGGUUGAAAACCUGGGGGAUGACCUGUGGUUAGGGGUGAAAGGCCAAUCAAACUCCGUGAUAGCUGGUUCUCCCCGAAAUGCAUUUAGGUGCAGCGUCGUGUGUUUCUUGCCGGAGGUAGAGCACUGGAUAGGCGAUGGGCCCUACCGGGUUACUGACCUUAGCCAAACUCCGAAUGCCGGUAAGUGAGAGCGCGGCAGUGAGACUGUGGGGGAUAAGCUCCAUGGUCGAGAGGGAAACAGCCCAGAGCAUCGACUAAGGCCCCUAAGCGUACGCUAAGUGGGAAAGGAUGUGGAGUCGCAGAGACAACCAGGAGGUUGGCUUAGAAGCAGCCACCCUUGAAAGAGUGCGUAAUAGCUCACUGGUCAAGUGAUUCCGCGCCGACAAUGUAGCGGGGCUCAAGCGUACCGCCGAAGUCGUGUCA
RNAcentral lists this ribosomal RNA (1267 nucleotides) under Streptomyces sp. AmelKG-D3. RNAcentral describes it as "bacterial LSU rRNA". It matches the Rfam family "Bacterial large subunit ribosomal RNA", at positions 4 to 1207 of the family's 2925-position model. Lineage: Bacteria; Bacillati; Actinomycetota; Actinomycetes; Kitasatosporales; Streptomycetaceae. The record is from RNAcentral.